Molecule: ribosomal RNA, 166 nt
Filed under: Castilleja lasiorhyncha
Lineage: Eukaryota; Viridiplantae; Streptophyta; Magnoliopsida; Lamiales; Orobanchaceae
Also listed under: 1 other name
Description: 5.8S ribosomal RNA
Rfam family: 5.8S ribosomal RNA
About the family: 5.8S ribosomal RNA (5.8S rRNA) is a component of the large subunit of the eukaryotic ribosome.
Source: RNAcentral
CAUAACGACUCUCGGCAACGGAUAUCUCGGCUCUCGCAUCGAUGAAGAACGUAGCGAAAUGCGAUACUUGGUGUGAAUUGCAGAAUCCCGUGAACCAUCGAGUCUUUGAACGCAAGUUGCGCCCGAAGCCUCACGGCCGAGGGCACGCCUUCCUGGGCGUCACGCA